UUAGUCCUACGGGAGGCAGCAGUGGGGAAUAUUGCACAAUGGGCGAAAGCCUGAUGCAGCAACGCCGCGUGAAGGAAGACGGUUUUCGGAUUGUAAACUUCUAUCAAUAGGGAAGAAAGAAAUGACGGUACCUGAGUAAGAAGCACCGGCUAAAUACGUGCCAGCAGCCGCGGUAAUACGUAUGGUGCAAGCGUUAUCCGGAUUUACUGGGUGUAAAGGGAGCGCAGGCGGUGCGGCAAGUCUGAUGUGAAAGCCCGGGGCUCAACCCCGGGACUGCAUUGGAAACUACCGAACUAGUGUGUCGG
This 305-nucleotide ribosomal RNA is filed under the name uncultured bacterium. RNAcentral's name for it is "bacterial SSU rRNA". It matches the Rfam family "Bacterial small subunit ribosomal RNA", at positions 333 to 652 of the family's 1533-position model. The record is from RNAcentral.